CGACGUUCAUCUGUCAAAAAACAAUAUGGCAAUGGCUCAUUGAUGAGCAAUAGAAUUUUAUAAAUAUUUUUGAAUGAUUAAAAGAUUUGUUGUGUAUUAAUCAAGUUCAGUUUUAAUGAAGUUUUGUGAUGAACGGAAUGUUACCUUCUUUUACACCACCGGUGGUUAAACGACUGUUAGGCUGGAAAAAAGGCACAGACGCCGAUGACAAAUGGUGUGAGAAAGCAGUGAAAAGUUUGGUGAAAAAAUUAAAAAAGUCAGGUGCUUUGGAGGAGUUAGAACGCGCUAUUUCUUCGCAAAAUCCCAAUACUAAGUGUGUAACUAUACCCAGGGUACGUCCCAAUGCUGAGAUAGGGAACCUGCAGCAACAGCGUAAGGGGUUACCUCAUGUUAUUUAUUGUCGUUUAUGGAGGUGGCCUGAACUUCAGUCACAUCAUGAGCUAAGGUCUUUGGAUCAUUGUGAAUAUGGUUAUGCUUUAAAAAAGGAGGAGGUUUGUGUUAAUCCAUACCAUUACACAAGAAUCGAGACCCCAGCACUACCUGCAAUUUUAGUACCUCGUCAUACAUUAGGUGAUGAAAAUAAUUUAUUUCCCCAUUCUCUUGAGGAUUUGAGCACUUCUGUUCCAGAGAAUACUUCUUUUCCCCACCACAAUACUAAUACGUUAGUAGGAUUGCACCUGCAGCACCCCACCACUUACAUGGAUACGGUAGGCAUAUGUCCCACUCCGACAAAUAUGGAAUCACCUCACAGUGUAGUUCCUCCGACAGAGACACCCCCUCCUGGAUAUAUGUCAGAAGAUGGAGAUCCUAUUGAUCCAAAUGACAACAUGAGUAUGUCAAGAAUCACCCCUAGUCCUCCAGUUGAUGCUCAACCAGUGCUUUACUGUGAACCAGCUUUCUGGUGCAGUAUCAGUUACUACGAACUGAAUACAAGGGUAGGAGAGACCUUUCAUGCAAGUCAACCUUCAAUAACUGUAGAUGGUUUCACAGAUCCCAGCAAUUCUGAAAGAUUUUGUUUGGGCUUGCUGUCAAACGUAAAUCGUAAUACAGUAGUAGAACAAACUAGACGGCAUAUAGGAAAGGGAGUAAGACUGUAUUAUAUAGGUGGAGAAGUGUUUGCUGAAUGUUUGAGUGAUUCCAGUAUUUUUGUACAAUCUCCAAAUUGUAAUCAAAGAUAUGGCUGGCAUCCUGCUACAGUUUGUAAAAUACCACCAGGAUGCAAUUUAAAAAUUUUCAAUAAUCAGGAAUUUGCGGCGUUGUUAUCACAAUCAGUUAGUCAGGGAUUUGAAGCAGUUUAUCAGUUGACAAGAAUGUGUACGAUAAGAAUGUCCUUUGUCAAAGGAUGGGGAGCAGAGUAUAGGAGACAGACUGUAACGUCAACACCUUGUUGGAUAGAGCUACACUUGAACGGACCGCUACAGUGGUUAGAUCGAGUACUCACUCAAAUGGGAUCACCCAGGUUACCAUGUAGUUCGAUGUCGUAAUUGUUUAAGUUUUGCUCUGUCGGUUGUCUGACAGAAACUGUGAAUCGAUUUUAAAGUUGUGAGAGUUGAGUGUUUUUUCCUAUUGUAAGUAAUAAUAUUAGGAGCUACUGUUUUAAAAAUAGAAGACUAUCUCUGUGUUUUGGUAGUUUUAAAUUAUGGCUACUGUAUUAUUUGUGUUUCGAUAUCUUUGAUAAAAGUGUCAUUGGCAUAUGUUAAAUAAUUUGAUUAUUUAUCGCCAUAACAAAGGUACGUUUACAAUAUGGAAAAAAUGUUUUAUUAUAUUUUACUGAUAAAAUUGCAAUAAUUUUCAUAACUGAUAAAAAUAAGAUUUUAAUAAAGGUUUGUUAUAUUUAUCAAAUUAAUAACAUACACUGCCAGUUAAUUAUUAUCAAUCCGUUAAUCUUUUCACUCUGGAAAGAUGCAAAUAAGUUUUAUAAUGGGGAAAAAGUAUAUCACUUGCGAUCAACAAUGCUCUGCAUCAGAUCCAUCAAGUAUAAUAAAACUAUUAAUUUUUAGAGAACAAUAAAAUGCUUUAAAAUGAAUGACAGUUAAUAUUUCAUUCUGUUUCAUAGACGACCAUCACCCUCUUACGUACGAUUCCCCCUUAUGGGAUCUUCAGAGAGGCUUAUGAUCUGCUUUGAAUCAAGAUCUUUUGAUUUGAUCAUAACUGAUAACUAAUAGACUAAGAGCCGCUAUAGGUGAAAUUUCUUAAUCAUUUUAGGCACGAUGGGACCCUAUAACUUAAAUAGUAGAACCUAAAAGAAAACGUUUGAACAGUGUGCCGUCACUUUUUAGUGGCACAUGCGUCGACAGUGGCGCAUCAAACUUUCCACUUAUGGACGGGAUAAAUAAAUUAAAAGUUACCCUCCCUUACUAACAGAAUUAUUUUUUUUAUUUUUUAAGUUUUAUGUGAUUAACACAUAGGAUUCAGCGUAAUUUUAACCCACCACCCUCUUCCCCCUGCCCCCACCAUCAAAAACUUCAUUUUUCGUUUUUAUUUUUUUUAUUUUUUUGGUGGGAUGCAAUCAGUUUUAAAAUUACAAAAAAUUCACACGCAUAGCUGAGGCUUUUAUAAAACAUCCCUAUUUUUAUAGACCCAUAGGUAAAGUGUACAUAACCUCAAAAAAUUAAAAGAAUUUUUUUUUCAAAAAUGCGUAUAACUUUUUUUGAGGAAUAGCUGCAGGUCGAAUUUUUUCUUAAUAUUGUGUGUUUUCUCAAACACUAUAUUUUAUUUUUUUUUUCAGAUUUUUCCGUAAGGCUCCCCACCUUCAAAAAUCCGAAAAACUAUUUUUUGGGGGUGUUGGGGGAUUUUCCCUAUUUUAUAGACUUCAUAAUAUAUUAAAUCAAUUUUGUUUUUAUAGGUUAUAUGUAACUUGAAGUAACUGAGUCCUUUAGAAUAUUUAAAAGUCAGAAAACACGUUCAAACCCCCCCAAAAACCCCUUAAAAACAGUUUUUUGGAUUUUUGAAGAUGACCAGCGUUACACAAAAAUCUAAAAAAAAUUAGAAAUAUAGUGUUUGAUAAAAUACACCAGACUAAGAAAAAAUUAGAUCUGCAGCUAUCCCCAAAAAAAAGUUAUAUACUUUUUUCCAAAAAAAAAUUUUUUUCAUUUUUUGAGGUUAUGUACACUCAACCUACAGGUCUAUAAAAAAUAGACGUGUUUUAUAAAAGCCUUAACUAUGCGUGUGAAUUUUUUGAAAUUUUAAAAUUGAUUGCAUUUCACAAAAAAAAAAUAAAAUCGAAAAAUAAAGUUUUUGAUGGUGGGGGCAGGGAGAAGGGGGUGGUGGGUUAAAAUUACGAUGAAUCUUAUAUCUUAAUCACAUAGAAUUUAAAAAAAUGAAAAAAAUUAAAUUCUGGUAAUGAGGGAGGGUAUUUUUUAAUUUAUGUGUCCCGUCCAUAAGUGGAAAGUUUGAUGCGCCACUGUAGACGCAUGUGCCACUAAAAAGUGACGGCACAGUGCUCAAACGUUUUCUUUUAGGUUCUACUAUUUAAGUUAUAGGGUCCCGUUGUGCCUAAAAUGAUUAAAAAAUUUCACCUAUACGUUGUGAGCUCGUACGUAGAGGGGAUAUUUACAAAUUCGCGAGCGCCAGUAGUGGCAAGUAUGUAAACGUUUACCGGAAAUUUGAUAUAAAUGUCAAAGUGAUUAAUUUAAAAUUAAAAUUAAAAACAUUAAUUAUAAAAAAUAUUAGUUGGUCAAAGCUGUGGUAUAUAUUUUUACCUUAAAUAUGCUUACGUUUUAAAUGCUGAAUUUAAGUUUUUUUAAUGUUCCGUAAUAUGUAAUUAUAAAUUAAUCUGCGCCAUCUACACGAUAAUUGUGAAAUUAUCCGAAGUAAGAAAUUCAUAUUUUAUCAAUAGAACGUCAAAAUGAUUAGCAAAAUCUUAAAAAAAUCGAUUACAAUUUAAUUACUUUUUUGCGUUGUAAAUAUUAAGCGAUAACAAUUAAAUAAUAAAUUUAAAAAUUACCGGUGAAAGUUGAAUUAGUAAUCCGCCAGGAGCGACACCAGCGAAGCUCAGGGCGAAUAGCGGCUCUUAGGGCCGGUUGUUCGAACGCUAAUCAACACUGAUCACUAUCAAAUAUUUAAUUACUGUCACAACUGUCAAUGUCAACUUUGGUUGGGUUGCUGAAAACAUAAUUUAUUAUAAUUAUGAGAUUAGUUAAUCAAUUAACAUAACAAUUAUUAACAUAAUUGAUUAAUUAAUUUCAUAAUUGUAAUCAAUAACAUUGUUUUCAGCAACCCAAUCAAAGUUGACAUUGACAGUUGUGAAAGUAAUUAAAUAUUUGAUAAUGAUCAUUUUUGAUUAGCGUUCGAACAACCGGCCCUUAGUCUAUAACUUUAUUUUAUUUUUCACUCGAAAUAAAUAUUUUUAUCCUCUAUAUUUGAAGCAAUGAUUUAAUUUUUUUAUAUUCGAUUAGAGAUUUCCAGAUGUGGUAGUGACAUUUUAGUGGAGCACUAUAUUUACUGAGACGUCAAAAAAAAUCGUAAUUAGAGUAGGCUAUGGAAUUUACAUUUAAAUGACAAUUCAAUGUUGAAUUAACAAUUCAACAAUUUUAUGAGCAAAUGUUUCUUAAAAACCUAUGUUUUGUUGAUAAUCUAUUAUACACUGCGAGUCAGAGAAAACGGGCACCCCAAAAAAUGCUCAUUUUUGAUGUCUCGUAUCUCCUAAACCUGUUGUGCGAUUUAAGUAAUUUUUUUAAUAUGUACCAUUUUUUAGCAAUAUCGCUGUAAUAAUAUUGUUGCUGAAUAGGUAAAUAUUCAUUGUAUACCGGGUGUACGAAUCAAACUGUGUUUUUUUCUUAAAGUUCGCAACACCCUGUGGAAUAUUCUAGCAUUUAUAAAAUACUGAAAUUAAAACCCAACUAUAGCCUCAGGUUUUCUUAACAUUCUGUUUUUGAUUCAUUCUUUUAUGUUUGAUAAUACAAAAGUUAGGUACUUUAACAACUAGUCAACUAGCCAUGUUCUUCAUCAGUACAAGUUGUUUCUAAAUAAGUGCGACAAACUUUAAGAGGUAAUUCUUCAUGAAAAAAUAAUGUCCAUCUGUUUUAUAAACAUAUAUCCGCAAAUGCUUCGUUUCCGCGAUAUGGGAUGUUGCAUGGUUUCUUACAAACUGACGAUUUAUUUAUUGCCCGAAAACCGGUUGAGAUAUGCAAAUGAAAUGUGCUGGGCUUUAAGAGACAGUUAUUGCGCAUUUUUUGACAUGCAAUUAAGAAUUUUAUAAUCAAGCCAAUGGUGAAUAUAAAAUUAAUAAUUGUAUAUCAAAAAAUGUGCAAUAGCUACGUCUCAAAAUCCACCAAAUUUCAUUUACAUAUCUCAACCGAAAGCAAUAAAUAAAUCGUCAAUUUGUAAGAAAAAAUUCAACAUUCCGUAUCUCGGAAACGAAGCGUGUGCGGACAUAUAAUUAUAAAGCAAACUGUCAUUAUUUUUUACUGCAGAAUUACCCCUUAAAGUUUGUCGCACUUAUUUAGAAACACCCUGUACUGAUGAAGAACAUGGCUAGUUGUUAAAGUACCUAACUUUUGUAUUAUCCAACAUAGGCGAAUGAAUCAAAAAACAGAAUGUUAAGACACUAUAAUCGGAACUAUUACCUGAGGCUAUAGUUGCGCUUUAAUUUCAGUAUUUUAUAAAUGCUAGAAGAUUCCACAGGACAGGGUGUUGCGAACUUUCAAAAAAAAAAACAGUUUGAUUCGUACACCCAGUAUACAAUGAAAAUUUAUCUGUUUAGCAACAGAACUAUUACAGCGAUAUUGCUAAAGAAUAAGGCUAUAACAUAUUAAAAAAAUUACUUAAAUCGGACGACAGGUUCAGGAUAUACAAGACAUAAAAAAUGAUCCAUUUUUUGGGGUACCCAUUUUCUCUUACGCGCAGUAUAUUUACAAAUUAUAGUAUUAAAAAUAAAAUUUCUAUAUUUUUCCAUGUAGAGUACAGUAUAUAAUUAAUUGAUUAUUAAAUUAUUUGGCAUAUGUACCAUUAACGGAGGAUGAUUUAAUACACAACUUAUUUACAUAGUUGUAGGGUUGUUGGUAUGAUGUAAAUGAGAAAUUUAGAGAAAUCUUUACAGUUUUGUAUAUAUUAUAUUACAUACAUUUUGUCUGAUCUUUUUAUCUUAACCUUUUAAAUACCAGAGGUAUUCAAACAAAAAUUGCAUUUUAAAAUUAGUUACAAUCUUAGAGGGUAUUUCACAACGGGGUAUUUUAUUUUAAUUUUGAAAUCUGCCUCGGUUCUUUAUCACAGAAAUGUAAAGUGGCAAAGUGUUUUACUGGGUCUUUAAAAAGUUAUUACCAAUGAAAAUCGUAUCAAAAUCUUUCUAUAAAUCUAAAAAAACCAUCUAAAAAAACUAAUAACUUUAAACAUAGGAAAUGCUUCAUAAAAUUGAAGUAUGGUAAUAGUACUUUUCGAUAGUAAUAUAAAAUAUAAUAUGGUGAUCCAUUUAAAAAUUAGCAAGAAAAUAUUAUAUACUGAAUUCACUCUACCGAGAUUCACUUUGACACAUUCGGAAUAGGAAACAUACAACACAAAAAUUCCUACCUCACACUAUUAACUGCUAAAAUUAACUUAAUCUUUCAUUAAAAAAGAAGAAUUAUUAGCAAUAGUGGGAGUGUCUACUAAUCUCAUAAAAUUUUGUGGAGUUUAUUUCUACAAAAUAUUUUUAUUUUGUACAAUAAAUAAUUUUCUCAUUUGAUAUCAAUACAUUAUAAUGGUGUAAAUAAAUAAUUAUUGAUUGGCGUAAGGAUUAUGUUAUUUUUAUGUCUGUUUACUAUUAAUAAUAUUGGCUAUGAGCAGGUGCGUUGGUUGUGUAGUAAUUUCCAGUUACUUCUGACAACUGAACUUCCCAAAAAAGAAAUUACUAACGUCAGUGUCAAAGUGAAUCUCGAUAGAACGAAUUUAGAUAUUUGCGUUUUGACUUACCCGGGUAGAUAUAGUGACAUGCCAUACCCGUUCCAGUUGUGUUGAAUCAGGUUCUGAGGUUCUUCAAUUAGGAUGGUCUUCUUCCUGGACCCCCGUUUUCCAAAUAUUGUUCAUUGCAGGACGACUUAUAGGAGGGCAUAUCUGGAUUCAUUUCGCAUGUGUCCGAAAUAUUAUAACUUUCGGGGUUUGAUGGUCGUCAGUACCUCUUGAUUCUUUUUCAUUCUUCUCAGGACCUCCUCUUUUGUGACUCGAUCAGUCCACGGGAUUUUAAACAUUAUCCGGUAUAGCCACGUCUCAGAUGCUUCCAAUUUUCUGCACAUAUCGUUCAAGGUCCACUAUUCAACACCAUAAAAAAGGACAGAACACGUAGCAUCGCACCAUUCUCACUUUUGUACUACGAGAGAGGUUGUGGCUCUUAUAACAUAAUAGGUUGUAGUAAUGUGGAGGUGAACCUCGCUAGGGCUAGGAAUACACUAAGUACUCAUAAUAUGUUUAUUUGAUCACUGUUAAAUAUAUCAGUAACUAGUUGGUGGACGAAAGUCUAAAUUUUAACUACAUUGAUGGUUUAAUAAUGAAUGAUGAAUAAUGACUGAUCUCUUUCUUUACUUGCUACGUAUCUAUAAUCAAUCCCAAUUGUUUUUUAUGAUUCCAUGCCUGACUGUGACCAUGAAAUACUAACAGUACCAAAUUGCUGACUCCGUUGUUUUCCAAAACGAGUGAUCUACAUUGAAGAAGCAAUGUCACCUACUUUUACGAAAUCAAAACAAUGCAUGCAACUAAUAUUUGUUUAAUCCUUUAAACUUUAAACAUUAAAUCGAUAUAGGUUACUCUUAUUUUUGAAUGAUAAUAUAAAUCCUGUACACUCUUAAGAAGGCUCCCAUCCAUUGUUAUCCCGUUCAUCAUUUAUUAUUGUGCCGAGGUAGUUGCAAUGCUUCGCUCUUUCUACAGGGGUUUGGUUGACAUACAGUUGAUCUUGUUAUCUUUUUCUUUCUAAUGACCAUAAGCUUUGUUUUCUUUACUUUUACAUAUCUUCUUCUUGUACGGCACUACAGCCCAAAUUGAGCCUUGGCCUCCUUUAUUUUUUGCCUCAACCCUUGCUUGUCUGUGGCUGCUUUUCUCCAUACAAUGACUCCUAAAAGGACUUGUGCGUCGCUGUUUACUGUGUCUUCCCGGCGUUUUCUUGGCUAUCCAACCGGUCUCUUUCCCUACAUUCUAGCAUUCAGUUCUCUUUUUGGUAGCCUAUCCUCUCCCAUUCUUAUCACAUGUCCGGCCCAUUGCAAUCUUUGUAUUCUAAUGAAGUCUGACAGGGGUGCUUCCUUAUAAAGUUGAUAAAGUUCGUUGUUGUAUCGACUUCAGAAGAUUCCGUUUUCCCUUACAGGUCCUAGUAUUCUCCUCAGUACUUUCCUUUCUAAUGUGUCGAGUUUGUUUUUGGAUGUUUCUUUCAGGACCCAGGCUUUUCUGCCAUAGCAUGUUAUUGGUCGAAUUAAAGUUUUAUAGAUUCUCAUCUUUGUAUUUCGGUGGACACUUUUAGACCGAAAUAUAUGGGAGAGGGCAAAAUAAGCUCUGUUUGCCUGCGUUAUUCUCUUCCGUAUUUCUCCGUCUUCUGAUCCGUCGGCAUAUAUUUCUACUCCCAGGUAUGUAAACUUUCCAACCGUUUCAAUGUCAUCUUCAUGUAUUACAUACAACUUUUACAUAUAUUGAGUCCAUAAUAUUGUCUGUAAUACAUAUGACACAAUACUCGUGUAGAUUUUUUCUCUUUUUACUGACUCCUAAAUCACAAAACCAUCCAAAAGUAGAGUUCACUAGCGCAGGUGUAUACUUUUCAACGACGGUAUGCAAAACUAACAGUAAUUUUGAUGUCGACUACUAAUUGGACUAUGUGAUAUUUUAUUUUAAUCUCAUUUUUCCAUUUCUUUGCAUAUUUAUUUUGAAUUGGAGAAGAUUAUAAAGAUUUCUGGUACACACGUUGUAAAAAAUAUCAAUUCUUUCGAUAAAGUACGAUUUUUAUGCCUUCAAAUACAACAAUCUUACAAAAAAACAUUUUUUUUUCGAUGGAAAUGAAAUAUUUUUGAAGGUUAUGUGGAUCAAUAUACAUAAAUAUAAUACUGGCCUAGCCAACUUAGCCGUUGUAUGAAACAAUGUAAAUAGACAUUAUGUCUACGAUAAUUUUGUAUUCUUUUUUGUUAUCUUAUUUAAAAUUGAUAUUUUAUUUGUUACAAGUUAUUAAUAUUGUCAGUGACAAUACUCUGAACGUUGCAAAAUAAUAUUUAUAUACAGGGUGCUUCGAAAAUAGGUAACAGCGUUUCUAAGAUAGGUAAAAAACUGAAAAAUAAUUGGGAUUUACUUAGUAGAAAAAUUUUGUAACGGCAUCCGUUUUCAAAAUACAGGGCGUUAAAAAAAAUUAACACAUUUUUUACGAUUUUGCUGAAACUACUGGCAACAUUGUACCUAAUUAAAUUUGGUGGGUUGUAAGAGAUAGUUAUUGUCCAUUUUUUUAUAUACAGUUAAGAAUGUUAUAUUCAUCAUUGACGCGCAUACGGGUAAUGUUCUGAAUUUUAUAAAGAAAAACAUAGUACGCCACUGAGAUAUGUCAAAUUAAAAAUCAUUUUUGAAUUCCUCGUUCAAUUUGUGUCAAAAAAUCUAGCUUCCCAUUUUUUCUUACGACGCGCCUAUUUUAUGCAAAAAAAUAAAACAUCUUAACACGUACAAAAUAUUCGAAGUUUCUAUACAUUCAUAUAGAAACUUAAUUAAUAAACAAGAAUUGAACGAAGAAUUCAAAAAUUAUUAUUUAAUUAGAAUAUCUCAGUGGCGUAUUAUUUUUUUUAUAAAAUUCAGAUCAUUACUCGUAUAUGCGACAAUGAUGAAUAUAAAAUUCUUAACUGUACGUCAGAAAAUGGACAAUAACUACCCCUUAAAACCCACCAAAUUGCAUUAGAAUGUUACCAGUAGUUUCGGCAAAAUCGUAAAAUAUAUGUAAAUUUUUUUUCUUCGACGCUCUGUAUCUUGAAAACAGAUAGCGUUAGAAAAAGUUUUUUUACUAAUCAAACCCCAAUUAUUUUUUAGUUGUUUUACUAUCCAAGAGAUGGUGUUAGCUUUUUUGAAACACCCUGUAGAAGAUACAAGUUGGUUCAUUAAUAUGUUUAGUAGUAAGUAAAUUUUUUAUGUGCCUUUUAGUGUCUCUUGAUGAAAUCAAGAUUUUAAGUAAAACUAAAAUAUAUUUACUAAUAUGAUAAUUUUAAUGUCGAUAUUUUUCAUUAAAUUUCUUGUCUUGGGUAGAGACCGAUGUUUAUUAUUAAGCAAUCAUUUCACUUCUUGGAACACUUUUGGAAAAUAGAUUUUAUUAGUUUUGAACAAUCAUAAAUUAGUUACAGGCGAAAAUAUGUGCUCAAAAAGCAAAAAUUUUCGAAUUGUUUUUUCAGAUUUUGUUAAAUAAAAAAUUUGUGACUGGACAAAACACUUAAAAACGAGACUUUCUUCUGCUUGCUUAUUAGUAGUCACUUCUCUCUACUCUUCUCUGUCAUGCAGUUUAACAGUGUUUGUAAGUCUUCUGGUGUGUUCGUUAGACAUAUAUUAUCAUCUAGGUAUCAGUUAACAGUCAUACCUUGUUAUCUUUCAUAUAUACUACCGUCCUCAAUUAAAACGCGGUAUCUGCAAAAAAAAUUGAAAAUCGAGUGUUUGCUAUAUGUGGUUUCCUUGUGACCUUAUUUAUGUUUCUGCAAUGUCUGAAAGCCGUAUCAUUUUAUUUACUACCAAAAUAAACAAAUUGGAAUAUGCCGUAUGUGCUAAAUUUCAAUAGUUGCUUAAUUAGAAUGCGUUAUCUACAGAGUACUCAACUAAAAGGCGGUAUGUGCUAGCGAGUAUCAUGUACUUGCCGCGUUUUAAUUGAGCACAGCGCAUAUACCGAGUUUUUAUCAAGACUCGUGUUGCGACCUCGUAUUUUGAACAUUUAUGACAUGUAGGUAUUUUGCGUAAAUAAUAAACAAUUAUAAGCUAUUUAUUUUUCUUUUUUGGUAACUACUCUUCCUGAUACGGCACUAUGUCUAAUCCAGUAAUAUAUCCGCUACUCAAUUAAAACGCGGUAUAUGACUUUUUAUUUACAGCUGUGAUAAAAACAUGAUUUUUUUAAGAAUAUAUUUUUAAAUAAUGUUCAACUAUCAUUAGAACAUGUUUUGCGUUAAAAAGUUGUCAAAACAUAUAGAUUCCUGAGAAAAAACUUUGAGAGCCGAUUUCUCGGUUUUAAGUUGGUUGCACUUACCGCGUUUUAUUUGAGGACGGCAGUAUAAUAGUUGCUGGAAGAUAUUUAAUAUCUCAUCUGAUAUAUUUUUUCCUACUGUUCCUGAUGACUGCAUCGAAAGUCUACUUGUAAUCUAUAGACAACAGGUGAGACAAGAGUCUCAUUGUCUCACCUGUACCCAUUCCAUUUUUUUUUAAAUCAAACUAUAUUGUCCAUGUUCUCUUCAUAAUUUCUGUAAAUACGGUUGUGAAUGGUUUUCAAAAAUAUUUUUGACUUAUAAGACUGAUUGUCGCUACAAUAUUUUGCAUUUACCUCUUAAGUCGUGUCACAAAGGUAGAAACUGAUCAGUCUUUAUAAAUUUUGACCUUCGGUAGAUUAGUGUUUGUCCUUCUAGAAGUAGUUUUAACAGUUCGAAAUAUAUUUCGUCUGUUCCUUUGUAUUUAUUCAGGAUAAUUUUCCCUUAAUAAUGAUAGUUGAUCCAUUAAUAAUCCAGUAGGCUUUACUUUUAUAGAAUCUGGUAGCAUCUUUCACUUCUUUAUACAUGUUGAAUAGAUGAGGUCUUUCUUCUAGAUUCUAGAUGUCACUGUCUUGAGUUAAUUUUUAAAAUAGCCACAACGUAAAAUCCUUUGAAUGAUAUAUUAUGGCCCUUGCAGAGACAGCGUGACAAACGGAAGGAGGCGCAGAUACAAUAACGAGUUAGAGUCUCUAUUGGGAAAGAAAAAUCUAGUCAGAUGUAUAAAGGCCAAUAGACUCAGAUGGGCAGGGCAUGUGAUACGCAGUAACGAUAAUCGCCUUAUGAACAAUGUGUUCUGGAAAAGGCUAGAUGGAAGGUCUGUAUGACCGCCUAGAAAAAGGUGGAAAGGUGCAGUCAAAGAAGAUCUGGAGAAAAUGGGAGGGAGACAAUGGGAAUUAGUGGCACGGGACCGACAAACAUGGAAGGCAACAGUAAACGCGGCAAAAACUCACGAAGAGUUGUAACGCCAUUGAUGAUGACAAUCCGGUAAUGGCAUAAACAUGAGUUUGUAGUUUUUAUCAUUUUUUGGCCUCUCGAGUUUCCCCACGAAUAGUUUUAAGUCUAUACUCCAGCUCUAGAGAACUUCUAAACAACUAAUGAUUCGGCGAUGAUAUAGUCAUACUAGAAGUAUUUAAGAAUGGCUAGAGAGAUGGUACAGGAACUCGUUGUGGCUACAGAAAAUGUGGGUUUAAAUAUAAACAUCUCAGAAACAAAAAUAAUGACAAAGUUACCCACCCAGAACAUCAGUAUUGGUGUGCAAGAAAUAGAACUCAUAGAUAAAUAUAACUACCUAGGAUAUGAAAUUGUGAUUGGCAAGGAUAAUCAGACCCAUUAACUGAAUAGAAGAAUCUUGGGUGGGCAGUAUAUGGAAAAGUGAGCUGCCCACAGGCCUGAAGAGAAAAGUAUUUGAGCAAUGUACCCUCCCAGUUUUGACAUAUGGAGCAGAAACACUUACCUUAACAAAGACCUCGGCUACUAAACUGAGAGUCACCCAGAGAAGAAUGGAACUAUCCAUGUUAGGAAUAAUUCUGCGAGAUAAAAUAAAAAACAAAAAGAUUAGGAGAAGGAGCAAGGUGACUGACGUUAUCGAAAGGAUAGUCAGUAAAUGGAGUUGAACAGUAAACCUAGCUAGAAUGACAGAUGGGCGAUGGACAAAGAGGAUAUUGGAAUGAAGACCAACGAAAGAUUUUGUCAGUUUAAUAAUUAUUCUAUCAAUAUGUAUUCGCCGUGUGCAAGUUCUUGGAGGGGAUACGAGAAACUAUAGUGCGCGAAUUGCGGAGAAAUCUUGCAACUUUCUUAAAUAAUUCAUAGUGUCAAUUGAAAUUGUCAAAUUGACGUAUAUUUCAUAUCUACUGUCAAUGAAGAAGAAAAAUUAUGUUGCUCCACAAUAUUUAUAUGAUAUGCAAUUAUAUAAUGAAAGUAAAUUUAAUCAAUUGUAUCCCAGGCAACCAAACGACAUUUUUAUAACGUAGAUAACACGCCAUAAAAAUGACCAAUUGACGUGUUUUUAUGACGUAGUACUGACAUUGAAAAUCACGUGUAUUUGUCUCAUUGAUUUGACGUCAUAAUUGUGACGAUUUUAAAACGUAAUCGUAUCUACGUUAUUUUCACGUCGAGAUUGUGACGAUUUUCAAACGUCAAAAAGAUGACGACCUUUAUACGUCGGUAAAAUCACGUCUUUAUUACUUUCAAAAAGUGACCUCUUUCAGAUGUUUCAAAAUAGUAUAAAAAAUAGGUAACAUGAAACCUAUAGGCCUAAGUCCCAUAUGUGUCGAAGAUAUACUACCACUUGUUUAAGAUCGCUUGUGCGCUAGAAGCAACAUUGAUUCUGCAUGAUUGUACCAGCCCUCACAUAGAAUUUUCACUAGUUAUAUAUACCUACUUACUGUGUUAAAACUAAAACAACAUAUACCUAUAUGAAACAUGAAACUAAUAAAUAAUUUAUUAACAAAUUAUCCAGCGUACUCAAUAUCUUAAUUUAACGCUGUCUUAAUAUCUUCAUUUAACGCUUAAUUAAAAACAAAUAAACAUAACCUCAAAUAGUUCUCAAGAAGAAUUACUGCAUUAAACUAACUCACUGAGCAAAAACACAUAAAAAUCUCUUAAUUAAUACGUUUAUUCAACUAAAUAUCUAAAUGAAAAGUCUUAUUUUAUCACACAAAACACAAACCGCGUAAACACUAAAUGAGAAAUUUCUUAUGAACAUUUAGCGUUAUACCUAAACGAAAUUGUAUUGAGUCAAUACAAACAAGCAAGCUCCUCCCAAUUUUGUGACGUCACACUUAGGCUAUCUGAAAUUAAAACGUUUUUUAAACGUAAUUUUAACGUCAUUAAUCUUACUUAUUUAAAAUCACCUACAAAAGACGUCUAUAUGACGUAAUGUUCAAACACGUGUUAUAUUCAACCAAAAACUGACGUUUCCUCAACGUUAUAUGACGUCACUUGGUUGCCUGGGAUUUGGCUUGUAGUACUGCAUUUUAAUAAUUAAUUUUAUUUACUACAUACAAUUACCUUUUAAUAACAUAACCUUAAUAUUACUUUUUCUUUUUAUAAUUUUUUUUGGGCUAUGGCAUUGACAAUAAUUGUCCAGUAACCAGGACCAAUAUAAUUAAAAGUGCGAAAAAUGUUGCCGUGCUAUGAAACCAGGUGCCGCUUUUCCGAACUUGCACGGUCCCAAUAGCCUUAUGGCAUCCAAACCAGGACUUUUAUUUAUAAUAUUUAUAUUACAUAAACGAACUGACGAAGAAACUGUAGUAUAUGAAAAUAAAGAGCUACAUCGCCGCUGAUAGAAAAGAGCGUCUCCCUAUCCUGGUCCGUCAAAAACGAUUGCGCAUCACUAGCUCAGAGAUAAAGUGGAUUGGAGCGGGUCGAUCCCAAUUCCUCAACUGUCAUCAACACGCCUAACUUCACGCGCAACUUUGAUACGAGAAUUAUAAAAAAAUAUGCAUUGAAAUCCACAUCCCGUAAUUUUUUGAGCAUUAUAAAGUGAGUACAAAGACAUACAUAAUUUUUUUUUAAUUUUAUCUCCAAUUUACCUUGUACUUCUCGUUGAUUCUUACCGAUAAGGUAGAGUGGUAACACUGGAACAGGGGAAGUUUUAAUUGUGGAACAGGUUAACAAUUUUGAACGGUCAGACCACGAAAACGGCACAUGUAUUUUGUCCGACAGAACAGACUUAAACUCUCAUGCAAAAAUCAGACUGCUAUUUAUCACCAAAUGGGCGUUUUAAUGAGUGGAACAUAUAGAAUAUGUCAAAUGACAGGUGAUAAAUAGCAGUCUGAUUUUUGCACGAGAGUUUAAUCUCUGUCCGGAGAGUUUAAGUCUGUUCUGUCGGACAAAAUAAAUGUGCCAUUUUCGUGGUCUGACCGUUCCAAAUUUUUAACCUGUUCCACAAUUAAAACUGCCCUUGUUACAGUAUUCCAUUUAUCAAAGUUUAUCCGACUAGACACCCUUAAGCUAUUAACAAAUUUUCAGCUUGCUAUUAAUCAACUUUUUUUUCAUAUGUGCGAUCCAGACCUAUAUUAUGUGUUUCCAAGACUUGGAUUGACUUUUUCAAUUUUAAUAAUUAUUUUAAUUUAGUGAUAAUACGGUUAUACUAAAGACAUAUAGCAUUUGUUUUAAAAUAAAUUUUAUAUGAUGAACCAACCUGUAUUCUAUAUUGUCUAAUAUUUUGUUCAGUUUUGGAUGUUAACAUGUGUGAUAUGAUGUUGCACUUUUUUGUAAAUGUUUUGCAGUUUUCUUUUAAGUGCAUUUUUUGUAUUGUAAGCUUACGAGUUUAUUAAUCAGUUCCACGUUGAACUCUUCUUUGUACUAUAUUAAAAUUAGUUUUAAUUAUUAUUAUUAUUGUAUAGAUAUAGUUUUUAUUGAGGCAACUACCAAAUUGAAUGUAUUUCACUUUCCAAAAAUAUAUAGCCGUUAAUUUA
Molecule: unclassified non-coding RNA, 15559 nt
Filed under: Diabrotica virgifera virgifera (western corn rootworm)
Lineage: Eukaryota; Metazoa; Arthropoda; Insecta; Coleoptera; Chrysomelidae
Description: mothers against decapentaplegic homolog 3
Source: RNAcentral